GAAAGCGUGGGGAGCGANCAGGAUUAGACACCCUGGUAGUCCACGCCGUAAACGAUGAGUGCUAGGUGUUAGNCCCUUUCCGGGGCUUAGUGCCGCAGCUAACGCAUUAAGCACUCCGCCUGGGGAGUACGACCGCAAGGUUGAAACUCAAAGGAAUUGACGGGGGCCCGCACAAGCGGUGGAGCAUGUGGUUUAAUUCGAAGCAACGCGAAGAACCUUACCAGGUCUUGACAUCCCGAUGCCCGCUCUAGAGAUAGAGUUUUACUUCGGUACAUCGGUGACAGGUGGUGCAUGGUUAUCGUCAGCUCGUGUCGUGAGAUGUUGGGUUAAGUCCCGCAACGAGCGCAACCCUUAUUGUUAGUUGCCAUCAUUCAGUUGGGCACUCUAGCGAGACUGCCGGUAAUAAACCGGAGGAAGGUGGGGAUGACGUCAAAUCAUCAUGCCCCUUAUGACCUGGGCUACACACGUGCUACAAUGGCUGGUACAACGAGUCGCAAGUCGGUGACGGCAAGCUAAUCUCUUAAAGCCAGUCUCAGUUCGGAUUGUAGGCUGCAACUCGCCUACAUGAAGUCGGAAUCGCUAGUAAUCGCGGAUCAGCACGCCGCGGUGAAUACGUUCCCGGGCCUUGUACACACCGCCCGUCACACCACGAGAGUUUGUAACACCCGAAGUCGGUGAGGUANCC
Molecule: ribosomal RNA, 685 nt
Filed under: uncultured bacterium
Lineage: Bacteria
Description: bacterial SSU rRNA
Rfam family: Bacterial small subunit ribosomal RNA
Source: RNAcentral